UUAAAAUGAAAUAUGACAACUUAGGCCUACGCGUAAAAACUAUUAUCAGCUAAGUUUAAUAACUGAAUGUGAAUAGUUCACAUUUAAGUGUGUGUGUGUGUAGCUAGUUUUAACCAGCAGGGGGAGUUCACGUUUAAUUAACAGUAAAGUCUAUCAGUAGGCCUAGCUAAGUUUUUAUCGCAAUUAGCAUUAGCUAAACGCUAGUUUAUCGGUCCCUGAGUUCCACAACAUUUCCAAGUGCUUUCUUACACAAAUACAAUGGAAGUCAUCAAUCACCCCCGAAUUUGAACCAGUGACCUUGCUGACCCCGAUCCUGAACCAUUAGGCCACAGAUGGCUGCCUUCAGUGAGUAAGAAACACAUCUGUAUGUGGAGGUCUGCAGAUCCAUGUGCAUGCUGGGAAAGCAGAGCUUGUGAAGUAAAGGCCCGGCCCUCAUUACAAGGUCAUAGGCUGAGCGGCUCGUCAAUCACACACUCAUUAGUGCAGUUUAAUGACGCUGUGACCCGCCCACCUGCCUCCAGGACUCCAGCAGGGGAAGUGAAUGGGUCGUGGGGCAAACGCCUGUAUUGUUUCUCCUCGCUGCGCCUCCCUCUCCGAGAGAGUCAAUGGAUCUGCAGCGACUGUGUGCCGGCGAUCAGAUGAACAGAACGAAGGGGAGUAGGGAGUGACUGGAGGAAUUUUGAGAUGGACCAGAUUACCCAUAAUUCACGAGGAUAACUUAACUGGACCUGUUUCCUGUCUGGAGCCCUGAACAGCUCUAUAACCAGCGGAUCCGGACCGAUCUGAGCAGAGCUGAGAGUUUGGAGCUGGUUUGUCAACUCGUGGUGCAUUGCUGGAAUAUGUGUGAGAGUGAGCAGGAGAUGAGGUCAGAGGAAGUCAAGCCCUGGCUGCAACUGUGUGGAAAAAGGACACUUCCUGUCCGCUUCCCCAAUCCGUUAUGUGAGGUCACCCGCUCACCACAUGGACUCUCACUAUACCCUGGACUACAUUUCCCAUCAUCCAUUGCACUGAUUACACACACACACACACAGCUGAAUCCCAUCAGACAUGCUUUAUAAGCCUUGGACUUCCUCUUUCACAUCGCCGAGCAUUGUUUAGCGUAUAUCUCUCCUAGCGAUAGCUACUUUACGGAGCCAGUUUUCUACCCUAGUUUCUUGUUCUUAAGUCUAGUCUUGCCUUGUGUUGCCUGUUAUCUGAUUCUUGCCUGUGUAUCUUGGAUUUACCCUUUGCCUUGCUGUUUCGGACUGUGAUUGCACUUCGCCUGGACUAUUGCUCAUGUUAUUGAACUACCCCUCUUCUCAAGCCCUCUGGAUAUUGUUUGCCUAUUGAAGACCCACGCUUGCCUUAGGAUUACUCUUUGUCUCGCCUGUGUUAUACCUGUUUGCCAUUGUUUGACUCUUUCCUUUUUGUGAUCACGUCUUGGAAUAAAGCUUGCAAAUGGAUCUGCACGUCUCGU
Molecule: long non-coding RNA, 1456 nt
Organism: Onychostoma macrolepis
Lineage: Eukaryota; Metazoa; Chordata; Actinopteri; Cypriniformes; Cyprinidae
Exons: 6
Source: RefSeq, a predicted model, not a curated record